GGACGAACGCUGGCGGCGUGCCUAAUACAUAGGCAAGUCGAACGGUCUUUCUAUGGAAGCUUGCUUCCACUGAGAAGAUAGUGGCGAACGGGUGAGUACACGUGGGUAACCUGCCAUAAGAGGGGGAUAACAUCCGGAAACGGUGCUAAUACCGCAUAGUUUUCUUGAUCGCAUAGAUUGAGAAAGGAAAGACGGCCUUUGUGCUGUCGCUUAUGGAUGGACCCGCGGCGUAUUAGUUAGUUGGUGAGGUAACGGCUCACCAAGACGAUGAUACGUAGCCGACCUGAGAGGGUGAUCGGCCACAUUGGGACUGAGACACGGCCCAAACUCCUACGGGAGGCAGCAGUAGGGAAUCUUCCGCAAUGGACGAAAGUCUGACGGAGCAACGCCGCGUGAGUGAAAGAAGGUUUUCGGAUCGUAAAACUCUGUUGUCAGAGAAGAACAAGUUGGAGAGUAACUGCUCCAGCCUUGACGGUAUCUGACCAGAAAGCCACGGCUAACUACGUGCCAGCCGCGGC
Molecule: ribosomal RNA, 518 nt
Filed under: uncultured bacterium
Lineage: Bacteria
Description: bacterial SSU rRNA
Rfam family: Bacterial small subunit ribosomal RNA
Source: RNAcentral